RNAcentral lists this ribosomal RNA (467 nucleotides) under uncultured bacterium. Its description in RNAcentral is "partial 16S ribosomal RNA". It matches the Rfam family "Bacterial small subunit ribosomal RNA", at positions 28 to 507 of the family's 1533-position model. The record is from RNAcentral.
GACGAACGCUGGCGGCGUGCUUAACACAUGCGAGUCGAACGGAAGGGCCCUGCUUUUGUGGGGUGCUCGAGUGGCGAACGGGUGAGUAACACGUGAGUAACCUGCCCUGACUUUGGGAUAACUUCAGGAAACUGGGGCUAAUACCGGAUAGGAGCUCCUGCUGCAUGGUGGGGGUUGGAAAGUUUCGGCGGUUGGGGAUGGACUCGCGGCUUAUCAGCUUGUUGGUGGGGUAGUGGCUUACCAAGGCUUUGACGGGUAGCCGGCCUGAGAGGGUGACCGGCCACAUUGGGACUGAGAUACGGCUCAGACUCCUACGGGAGGCAGCAGUGGGGAAUAUUGCACAAUGGGCGGAAGCCUGAUGCAGCAACGCCGCGUGCGGGAUGACGGCCUUCGGGUUGUAAACCGCUUUCGCCUGUGACGAAGCGUGAGUGACGGUAAUGGGUAAAGAAGCACCGGCUAACUACGUG